Molecule: unclassified non-coding RNA, 89 nt
Filed under: Pseudomonas sp. NFACC04-2
Lineage: Bacteria; Pseudomonadati; Pseudomonadota; Gammaproteobacteria; Pseudomonadales; Pseudomonadaceae
Source: RNAcentral
UGUGGGAGCGAGCUUGCUCGCGAUAGCGUUGGUUCAGCCGCCUAUAGAUUGACUGAGACACCGCUAUCGCGAGCAAGCUCGCUCCCACA